CCCUUAGAUGUCCUGGGCCGCACGCGCGCUACACUGACACUUGCAACGAGUACUUUGCUUUACCGAAAGGUAAUGCUAAUCAUCAAUAAGUGUCGUGAUGGGGAUAGAUCUUUGGAAUUAUGGAUCUUGAACGAGGAAUGCCUAGUAAGCGUAGGUCAUUGGCCUACGCUGAUUAAGUCCCUGCCCUUUGUACACACCGCCCGUCGCUCCUACCGAUUUCGAGUGGUCCGGUGAAACUUUUGGACCGUGCGACUUUAUUGUUGUCACGGAAAGUCAGUUAAACCAUACUACUUAGAGGAAGGAGAANUCGUANCA
Molecule: ribosomal RNA, 315 nt
Filed under: uncultured eukaryote
Lineage: Eukaryota
Description: partial 18S ribosomal RNA
Rfam family: Eukaryotic small subunit ribosomal RNA
Source: RNAcentral